Molecule: ribosomal RNA, 781 nt
Filed under: uncultured marine bacterium
Lineage: Bacteria
Description: bacterial SSU rRNA
Rfam family: Bacterial small subunit ribosomal RNA
Source: RNAcentral
UGAUCCUGGCUCAGAUUGAACGCUGGCGGCAGGCCUAACACAUGCAAGUCGAACGGUAACAGGAUAGCUUGCUAUCGCUGACGAGUGGCGGACGGGUGAGUAAUACUUUGGGAUCUGCCUCUGUGUGGGGGAUAACUAUUGGAAACGAUAGCUAAUACCGCAUAAUGUCUACGGACCAAAGCGGGCUUCGGCUCGUGCGCAGAGAGGAACCUAAGCGAGAUUAGCUAGUUGGUGAGGUAAAGGCUCACCAAGGCGACGAUCUCUAGCUGUUCUGAGAGGAAGAUCAGCCACACUGGAACUGAGACACGGUCCAGACUCCUACGGGAGGCAGCAGUGGGGAAUAUUGCACAAUGGGGGAAACCCUGAUGCAGCCAUGCCGCGUGUGUGAAGAAGGCCUUCGGGUUGUAAAGCACUUUCAGUUGUGAGGAAAGUUUAGUAGUUAAUACCUGCUAGAUGUGACGUUAGCAACAGAAGAAGCACCGGCUAACUCCGUGCCAGCAGCCGCGGUAAUACGGAGGGUGCGAGCGUUAAUCGGAAUUACUGGGCGUAAAGCGCACGCAGGCGGUCUGUUAAGCUAGAUGUGAAAGCCCCGCGCUCAACGUGGGAGGGUCAUUUAGAACUGGCAGACUAGAGUCUUGGAGAGGGGAGUGGAAUUCCAGGUGUAGCGGUGAAAUGCGUAGAGAUCUGGAGGAACAUCAAUGGCGAAGGCAACUCCCUGGCCAAAGACUGACGCUCAUGUGCGAAAGUGUGGGUAGCGAACAGGAUUAGAUACCCUGGUAGU